GCCGAGUUCAGCAGCGUGAGCUUGUAACCCGAGCGGGGGCACUAAGGUGGUGUGGACGUUGCCGUAUGGCUACGGGCCUGGGCAGCUAGCGCUCCUGCUGGCCCGCCCGUUCCAAGUUGGUAGAUGGAUCGCUGGGGCCUGUGCGAAAGCUGGGCCUCACGAUUCCUAAAGCGGCAGGCACCGCGUGAGGCUGGCUUCACAGAGCAGCGACAACUGCCCGCUCCCAACGGUGGGAGGAUAACGGGCCGCUGCGCUUCCAGCCCACUACGGGCCUCGUAGCCUACUCCAACGGACCACCAUUUUU
Molecule: signal recognition particle RNA, 304 nt
Filed under: Dichanthelium oligosanthes
Lineage: Eukaryota; Viridiplantae; Streptophyta; Magnoliopsida; Poales; Poaceae
Description: Plant signal recognition particle RNA
Rfam family: Plant signal recognition particle RNA
Source: Rfam by way of RNAcentral